RNAcentral lists this ribosomal RNA (497 nucleotides) under uncultured bacterium. RNAcentral describes it as "partial 16S ribosomal RNA". It matches the Rfam family "Bacterial small subunit ribosomal RNA", at positions 28 to 507 of the family's 1533-position model. The record is from RNAcentral.
GAUGAACGCUGGCGGCGUGCCUAAUACAUGCAAGUCGAGCGAACAGAUGAGGAGCUUGCUCCUCUGACGUUAGCGGCGGACGGGUGAGUAACACGUGGAUAACCUACCUAUAAGACUUGGAUAACUUCGGGAAACCGGAGCUAAUACCGGAUAAUAUAUUGAACCGCAUGGUUCAAUAGUUAAAUACGGUUUUGCUGUCACUUAUAGAUGGAUCCGCGCCGCAUUAGCUAGUUGGUAAGGUAACGGCUUACCAAGGCAACGAUGCGUAGCCGACCUGAGAGGGUGAUCGGCCACACUGGAACUGAGACACGGUCCAGACUCCUACGGGAGGCAGCAGUAGGGAAUCUUCCGCAAUGGGCGAAAGCCUGACGGAGCAACGCCGCGUGAGUGAUGAAGGUCUUCGGAUCGUAAAACUCUGUUAUUAGGGAAGAACAAAUGUGUAAGUAACUAUGCACGUCUUGACGGUACCUAAUCAGAAAGCCACGGCUAACUACGUG